Molecule: long non-coding RNA, 2945 nt
Organism: Ictalurus punctatus (channel catfish)
Lineage: Eukaryota; Metazoa; Chordata; Actinopteri; Siluriformes; Ictaluridae
Source: Ensembl
AUUUCUAAAUCUUUCACAAAUAAGGCAUCAUCUCUUUACAGUAUGUACAACUCGAAUCAUUGUAUAACUUGAUCACUAGGGCUAAAAAUGUAUUACUGGGCUGUGGUGUUCUCUUAACGUAUAACUGCAUACUUUACAUUGUCUUUGUCAUAAUGAUCACUAUUUGUAUUUACACCUGUUAUUAUUCAAAUGAGCAAAGACAUAAUGCAAGUGAAGGAGGGGCCACCCCGUUGACGUUGUAACUAAUAACCACUCCUUAUAACGUCAAUUUGCAGUUUUGAUAAAUCACCUUCCAAAGACACAGUUUGUUACCUUUACGAAAAAUCACUGAGUGUGUUACUGUGCACAGAUUUUCACUUGAGACUGGAUGGUUAUGACUUUGAAGAAUAAACUAAGGUUUGCCUUUUCUAAAAAUCAUGGCACCAGAAAAACUACACUCCUCACCAUAUUAUGUAUAUGGUGGGUGCUUACCUGGACUGGUGCCCAAGCGACAACAGAACACCAGAAUCCUGAGACAUCUAAAAUGGAGAAAAUGAGGAUGAAUGAUGAUUUCAGGCAAAACACAAAUGCAACGCAUGAAUCCAAUAAAGAAACUUCCCAACAAUCUGCAGCUAUACACAUUGAAAAUGCCACAGGAGCUAGAGCUACCUCUCAUACUAAAAGUGAUACAAAACCAAUUAGAGCAUUAUCCACUACUGGUACAGCAGUACCUCCCAGGAGAGUCUCGAUCAAAAAUUCAACAGAAAAAACAAGCUAUACUACAACACUGGCUCCUAGACCUAUUGGAAAUUUACCAGUGAUGACUACUCACUCAACACCUGAUUCAAAUACAGCUAACGUAAAGCUGGUGUUCGACUGCUCAUUUCCUGUUCCCAGUGAGAGUAUGGUCUUGAAUGCUAUCCAAACUCUGCUGAUCUCUCGAUCUGCAAACAUCUCAGAUACAGUGAAAGUACUGGGCUUCUACUAUAAUAAAACCUCAGCCAACUCCUAUGAAGUUAAUUUCAUAAUCAACAUUAGUAUCAUCAUGCCAGAGAAGCAUGCCCUCAGGAAAAACACCUACAAGCAAAUCCAAACAUCCAUCAGCAACACACUAAACAUUUUAUUAAAUGAACCUGGUGCAGAACCAUUUGAACCCCAUACCUCCUACAUCAUGGAUGUGGACAUUGAAAUAGAGUACAAUUUUGGAUGUGGGGAUUGCAAACGACCAAUCAGCUUCCUAAAUGAAAUCAGUGCUUUAGCAACAACUCCAAGAACGACAACAGUUCCUCCAACAACUUCAAGACAUGAGAACAUAACUGGAACUGUAUACAUUUAUAUUAAGGUUAUAUUUGAGAACUUGACACAUGUACCUACCGAGGCUGAUGUUAUCAGUGCUGCUAAUGAUCUCCUGGAAUCAAACAAAUCAGUGAGAGAUCUUGGAAUAGAAGAACUGACUGACCCUGUCAGCAUAAAGAACAUCGCCUAUCAGAAAACGGGAAGCAACUCAUAUAGCAUAGACUUUGCAUUCAAAAUCAGCAAUGUGAGCAUGUCUGUGAUGACGGACCAGAGGAGCGCAACAUAUGAGUUAAUACAGUACAAAAUCAACAGCCUGAUGAACACAAUCUUGAAUGCCCCAACUGAGGCAUCAGUUAACUUCUCACAAGCAAAUUACACGGGUAAUGCUACAUUAAUAGAGGCAACUGAAAUAUACAUCUAUAGGGAGUGUGAUAUCAAGUCGACAAGUGAGUUUCUUCUUCAACUCCUAACACUUCAUACACCUCCUGCCAUUGGAUCAGCUGAGGUUCAAACCACCAUGGUGUUCAGCUCGUCCUCUCCUGUUCCCAGUGAGAGUUUGGUCCUCGGUGCUAUCACAGUUCUGCUUAACUCUCGACUCACAAACCUCACUGACUCUGUAACAGUGCUGAACUUCACCUAUGAGAAAAUAUCAGACACAUCCUAUGCAAUCAUUUUCAUAUUCAAGAUCAGUAACAUCAGCAUUCCAGAGAACCCUAACCUCAGGAACGAAACCCACAGCCAUGUAAAGAGCAUCAUCAAUGACGCUCUAAACAUGCUACUAAAUAGGCCUUGUGCAGUGCGAUUUGAAACCAACAAUUUCAACUUCACAAGAUCAGAAGAUAAGAUUGAUGGAUACAUGAACUACACUUUCCAACAAUCAGAAACCAAAAAACCAGCCAGCUUCUUCGAUGAACUCAAGAUUAUACCUGGUUUGGUUGUGGUCAAUACCACCCUGGUGUUCAACUCGUCCUCUCCUAUUACCUGUGAGAGUUUUUACCACAGUGCUCUCGAAGCUCUGCUGAACUCUAGACACACAAACCUUACUGAGUCUGUAAGAGUGCUGACCUGUGAGGAAAUUUCAAACACCUCCUACACAGUUAGCAUUAAAUUCAUCAGUAACAUCAGCAUGCCGAGCAACCCUGACCUCAGGAACGACACCUACACCCAAGUGGAGAACAUCAUCAAUAACGCAGUAAACACACUUCUAAACAAUUUUGGUUCAGAUCCAUUAAAACCCACUACCUCCAACUUCACGAGUUCAGAGAAUGAAGUUACUGGUUACAUGGAAUACAAUCUCAAAGUCUCCCUCAAUCAGACUGGGAAUGCUACAGUGCAGACUUCUCCAGAACCUCCAUCCACAAUCAACGGAUCAGCUGUGGUUCAAACCAUGCUGGUGUUCAACUCGUCCUCUCCUGUUUGCACUCAGAGUGUCAUUCCCAAGUUUAUCGCAUGGCUGAUUGAGUCUGAACUCAAUAAACAAAGUCAGAGUGUCGUUCUCCAUGUUCUCGAAGAUCUGCUGAACUCUACACUCAAAAACCUCACUGAGCCUGUAAAAGUGUUGAAUUACACCAUUGAGGAAAUUUCAAACACCUCCUACGCAGUUAACAUUACAUUCAGCAUCAGUAACAUCAGCAUGCCGAGUAACCCUGACCUCAGGAACAAUACCUACA